UGGGGAAUUUUGGACAAUGGGCGCAAGCCUGAUCCAGCCAUGCCGCGUGCGGGAAGAAGGCCUUCGGGUUGUAAACCGCUUUUGUCAGGGAAGAAAUCUUCUGAGUUAAUACCUCGGGAGGAUGACGGUACCUGAAGAAUAAGCACCGGCUAACUACGUGCCAGCAGCCGCGGUAAUACGUAGGGUGCAAGCGUUAAUCGGAAUACUGGGCGUAAAGCGUGCGCAGGCGGUUUUGUAAGACAGAGGUGAAAUCCCCGGGCUCAACCUGGGAACUGCCUUUGUGACUGCAAGGCUUGAGUGCGGCAGAGGGGGAUGGAAUUCCGCGUGUAGCAGUGAAAUGCGUAGAUAUGCGGAGGAACACCGAUGGCGAAGGCAAUCCCCUGGGCCUGCACUGACGCUCAUGCACGAAAGCGUGGGGAGCAAACAGGAUUAGAUACCCUGGUAGUCCACGCCCUAAACGAUGUCAACUGGUUGUUGGGAAGGUUCCUUCUCAGUAACGUAGCUAACGCGUGAAGUUGACCGCCUGGGGAGUACGGCCGCAAGGUUGAAACUCAAAUGAAUUGAC
This 565-nucleotide ribosomal RNA is filed under the name uncultured bacterium. RNAcentral's name for it is "partial 16S ribosomal RNA". It matches the Rfam family "Bacterial small subunit ribosomal RNA", at positions 355 to 914 of the family's 1533-position model. The record is from RNAcentral.